RNAcentral lists this ribosomal RNA (253 nucleotides) under uncultured bacterium. RNAcentral describes it as "partial 16S ribosomal RNA". It matches the Rfam family "Bacterial small subunit ribosomal RNA", at positions 524 to 776 of the family's 1533-position model. The record is from RNAcentral.
UACGGGGGGUGCGAGCGUUGUCCGGAAUCACUGGGCGUAAAGGGCGCGUAGGUGGUUUGAUAAGGGUGUGGUGAAAGUCCGGGGCUCAACCCCGGAUCUGCCAUGCCGACUGUCAAACUCGAGGGCUGUAGAGGCAGACGGAAUUCCGGGUGUAGCGGUGGAAUGCGUAGAGAUCCGGAGGAAGACCGGUGGCGAAGGCGGUCUGCUGGGCAGUAACUGACGCUGAGGAGCGAAAGCGUGGGGAGCGAACAGG